This 200-nucleotide unclassified non-coding RNA is filed under the name Lepiota sp. RNAcentral's name for it is "partial internal transcribed spacer 2". Lineage: Eukaryota; Fungi; Basidiomycota; Agaricomycetes; Agaricales; Agaricaceae. The record is from RNAcentral.
UUAAGUUCAGCGGGUAGUCCUACCUGAUUUGAGGUCAAACGUUCAAAAGUUGUCCACAGGGGACAGUUAGAAGCUGAACAGACAGAGAGCAGCCUUCGUCUAUGGCGUAGAUAAUUAUCACACCGGCGACGGACCGCAAACGGUUCCGCUAAUGCAUUUCAGGGGAGCCGACCUCAAAAGAGAGGCCCACAGAAACCCCC